GACGAACGCUGGCGGCGUGCUUAACACAUGCAAGUCGAACGGAAAGGCCCUGCUUUUGUGGGGUGCUCGAGUGGCGAACGGGUGAGUAACACGUGAGUAACCUGCCCUUGACUUUGGGAUAACUUCAGGAAACUGGGGCUAAUACCGGAUAGGAGCUCCUGCUGCAUGGUGGGGGUUGGAAAGUUUCGGCGGUUGGAGAUGGACUCGCGGCUUAUCAGCUUGUUGGUGGGGUAGUGGCUUACCAAGGCUUUGACGGGUAGCCGGCCUGAGAGGGUGACCGGCCACAUUGGGACUGAGAUACGGCCCAGACUCCUACGGGAGGCAGCAGUGGGGAAUAUUGCACAAUGGGCGGAAGCCUGAUGCAGCAACGCCGCGUGCGGGAUGACGGCCUUCGGGUUGUAAACCGCUUUCGCCUGUGACGAAGCGUGAGUGACGGUAAUGGGUAAAGAAGCACCGGCUAACUACGUG
RNAcentral lists this ribosomal RNA (468 nucleotides) under uncultured bacterium. Its description in RNAcentral is "partial 16S ribosomal RNA". It matches the Rfam family "Bacterial small subunit ribosomal RNA", at positions 28 to 507 of the family's 1533-position model. The record is from RNAcentral.